UGAAUACGAGACGCUACGGCGUCGAAGCAGUCUAUGUCAUACUUCCAAGAAAAGCUUGCACUGUCAUAAACAAAUAAUGCCUGUACCAUAACCGACACAGGUGGGUAGGUAGAGUAUACUAAGGGGCGCGAGAUAACUCUCUCUAAGGAACUCGGCAAAAUGACUCCGUAACUUCGGGAGAAGGAGUGCCUUAUUUAUAAGGUUGCAAUAACAAGAUCCAAGCAACUGUUUAUCAAAAACACAGGUCUCCGCUAAGUCGUAAGACGAUGUAUGGGGGCUGACGCCUGCCCAGUGCCAGAAGGUUAAAGAAGUUGGUUAGCAUUAGCGAAGCUGAUAACUGAAGCCCUGGUGAACGGCGGCCGUAACGAUAACGGUCCUAAGGUAGCGAAAUUCCUUGUCGGGUAAGUUCCGACCCGCACGAAAGGCGUAAUGAUUUGGAUACUGUCUCAGAGAGGGGCUCGGUGAAAUAGACUUGUCUGUGAAGAUGCGGACUACCUGCACCAGGACAGAAAGACCCUAUGAAGCUUUACUGUAACUUGAAAUUGAAAUUGGACUUUAUUUGCGCAGUAUAGGUGGGAGGCAUUGAUAAUAUUCUUGCGGGAAUGUUGGAGCCAUCAGUGAGAUACCACUCUUGUAAUGUUAGAUUUCUAACUUUGGAUCAUUAUCUGGUCAAAGGACAGUUUCAGGCGGGCAGUUUGACUGGGGCGGUCGCCUCCUAAAUGGUAACGGAGGCGCACAAAGGUUUCCUCUGAACGGGUAGAAAUCGUAUCUAGAGUGUAAAGGCAUAAGGAAGCUUGACUGUGAGACCUACAAGUCGAGCAGGGACGAAAGUCGGUCUUAGUGAUCUGACGGGGCUGAGUGGAAAGGCCGUCACUCAACGGAUAAAAGUUACUCUAGGAUAACAGGCUGAUCUCCCCCAAGAGUUCACAUCGACGGGGAGGUUUGGCACCUCGAUGUCGGCUCAUCGCAUCCUGGGGCGGUAGUACGUCCCAAGGGUUGGGCUGUUCGCCCAUGAAAGCGGUACGCGAGCUGGGUUCAGAACGUCGUGAGACAGUUCGGUCCAUAUCCGGUGUAGGCGUUAGAAUAUUGAGAGGAGCCUUCUUUAGUACGAGAGGACCGAGAAGGACAUACCUCUGGUGUACCAGUUAUCGUGCCAACGGUAAACGCUGGGUAGCUAUGUAUGGAGAGGAUAACCGCUGAAAGCAUCUAAGUGGGAAGCCCACCUCAAGAUAAGUAUUCUCA
RNAcentral lists this ribosomal RNA (1242 nucleotides) under metagenome. RNAcentral describes it as "bacterial LSU rRNA". It matches the Rfam family "Bacterial large subunit ribosomal RNA", at positions 1564 to 2816 of the family's 2925-position model. The record is from RNAcentral.